This 446-nucleotide ribosomal RNA is filed under the name uncultured bacterium. RNAcentral describes it as "partial 16S ribosomal RNA". It matches the Rfam family "Bacterial small subunit ribosomal RNA", at positions 338 to 795 of the family's 1533-position model. The record is from RNAcentral.
CCUACGGGCGGCUGCAGUCGAGAAUCAUUCACAAUGGUGGGAACACUGAUGGUGCGAAGCCGCGUGGGGGAAUGAAGUACUUCGGAUUGUAAACCCCUGUCAUGUGGGAGCAAAUUAAAAAGAUAGUACCACAAGAGGAAGAGACGGCUAACUCUGGGCCAGCAGCCGCGGGAAUACAGCGGUCUCAAGCGUUGUUGGGAAUCACUGGGCGUAAAGCGUGCGUAGGCUGUUUCGUAAGUCGUGUGUGAAAGGCGCGGGCUCAACCCGCGGACGGCACAUGAUACUGCGAGACUAGAGUAAUGGAGGGGGAAGCGGAAUGCUCGGUGUAGCAGUGAAAUGCGUAGAUAUCGAGCGGAACACUCGUGGCGAAGGCGGGUUCCUGGACAUUAACUGACGCUGAGGCACGAAGGCCAGGGGAGCGAAAGGGAUUAGAUACCCCAGUAGUC